GAUGCUACAGUUAGGUUAUGCGAGUUGCGUAGUGAGGUCUUUGUAUCCAUAAGCAGGUUAGCUGCCGCACUCCCAGCACCUGCUCGACUUGGUCUGCUGGAUUUGCAAGCUUUCGUUGCAAUGUUCCUGUGUGACUAUGCAUUUGUGAAAUUCACUGUUGGCCAGUGUAGCUGCUAGCGUUGUCUUUGGAAAAAUACUUUAUUUUUUAGGGCAUAUGAAGUGAAGAAGGAAAUAUUUGGCAGCUCUGAAGUAGUUCUACCUGCAGGCCAGUAGAGUUUUUCGCGUUUACUUCAAUUGGAAACCGAAACGGUAGGAAAAUUCUCCAUUGUUGCUUUUUCACUCGGUCUCACGUACGCAAUUGUCAGUGGUCAUCGCUGUGGCAUUUGUGCUGCUUUGAGCCCUUGUUGAGCAUCUAUGGUGAUGACUUAAUCCUUCGAGGACCAAGGGACCGGAAAUAGUUCCGCCUUCUCUAAAAGAGUGUCACCUUAAACGGUU
This 495-nucleotide long non-coding RNA is filed under the name Physcomitrium patens. Its description in RNAcentral is "long non-coding RNA (PPAT_LNC004152)". The record is from RNAcentral. Lineage: Eukaryota; Viridiplantae; Streptophyta; Bryopsida; Funariales; Funariaceae.